GUUGGGUAGGGGAGCGUUCUGUAAGCCUGUGAAGGUGUGUCGUGAGGCAUGCUGGAGGUAUCAGAAGUGCGAAUGCUGACAUAAGUAACGAUAAAGCGGGUGAAAAGCCCGCUCGCCGGAAGACCAAGGGUUCCUGUCCAACGUUAAUCGGGGCAGGGUGAGUCGACCCCUAAGGCGAGGCCGAAAGGCGUAGUCGAUGGGAAACGGGUUAAUAUUCCCGUACUUGGUGUUACUGCGAAGGGGGGACGGAGAAGGCUAUGUUGGCCGGGCGACGGUUGUCCCGGUUUAAGCGUGUAGGUGUGUGUUCCAGGUAAAUCCGGUUCACUUUAACACUGAGGCGUGAUGACGAGGCACUACGGUGCUGAAGCAACAAAUGCCCUGCUUCCAGGAAAAGCCUCUAAGCAUCAGGUAACAUCAAAUCGUACCCCAAACCGACACAGGUGGUCAGGUAGAGAAUACCAAGGCGCUUGAGAGAACUCGGGUGAAGGAACUAGGCAAAAUGGUGCCGUAACUUCGGGAGAAGGCACGCUGACACGUAGGUGAAGUGAUUUACUCACGGAGCUGAAGUCAGUCGAAGAUACCAGCUGGCUGCAACUGUUUAUUAAAAACACAGCACUGUGCAAACACGAAAGUGGACGUAUACGGUGUGACGCCUGCCCGGUGCCGGAAGGUUAAUUGAUGGGGUCAGCGCAAGCGAAGCUCCUGAUCGAAGCCCCGGUAAACGGCGGCCGUAACUAUAACGGUCCUAAGGUAGCGAAAUUCCUUGUCGGGUAAGUUCCGACCUGCACGAAUGGCGUAAUGAUGGCCAGGCUGUCUCCACCCGAGACUCAGUGAAAUUGAACUCGCUGUGAAGAUGCAGUGUACCCGCGGCAAGACGGAAAGACCCCGUGAACCUUUACUAUAGCUUGACACUGAACAUUGAGCCUUGAUGUGUAGGAUAGGUGGGAGGCUUUGAAGCGUGGACGCCAGUCUGCGUGGAGCCGACCUUGAAAUACCACCCUUUAAUGUUUGAUGUUCUAACGUGGACCCGUAAUCCGGGUUGCGGACAGUGUCUGGUGGGUAGUUUGACUGGGGCGGUCUCCUCCUAAAGAGUAACGGAGGAGCACGAAGGUUGGCUAAUCCUGGUCGGACAUCAGGAGGUUAGUGCAAUGGCAUAAGCCAGCUUGACUGCGAGCGUGACGGCGCGAGCAGGUGCGAAAGCAGGUCAUAGUGAUCCGGUGGUUCUGAAUGGAAGGGCCAUCGCUCAACGGAUAAAAGGUACUCCGGGGAUAACAGGCUGAUACCGCCCAAGAGUUCAUAUCGACGGCGGUGUUUGGCACCUCGAUGUCGGCUCAUCACAUCCUGGGGCUGAAGUAGGUCCCAAGGGUAUGGCUGUUCGCCAUUUAAAGUGGUACGCGAGCUGGGUUUAGAACGUCGUGAGACAGUUCGGUCCCUAUCUGCCGUGGGCGCUGGAGAACUGAGGGGGGCUGCUCCUAGUACGAGAGGACCGGAGUGGACGCAUCACUGGUGUUCGGGUUGUCAUGCCAAUGGCACUGCCCGGUAGCUAAAUGCGGAAGAGAUAAGUGCUGAAAGCAUCUAAGCACGAAACUUGCCCCGAGAUGAGUUCU
This 1607-nucleotide ribosomal RNA is filed under the name Salmonella enterica subsp. enterica serovar London. Its description in RNAcentral is "bacterial LSU rRNA". It matches the Rfam family "Bacterial large subunit ribosomal RNA", at positions 1223 to 2812 of the family's 2925-position model. The record is from RNAcentral. Lineage: Bacteria; Pseudomonadati; Pseudomonadota; Gammaproteobacteria; Enterobacterales; Enterobacteriaceae.